ACUAAUCACUAAUAGACAUCCAUACAUUCCAGAGAUGACACACAUCAUUAGUUUUAUUGCCCCACAAAGCAGCUCAUUUUCCAGUUCCAUUCCCCAUUUGGGGAGAUGUACAUGCAUUGUGUGAGUGUGAUAAAAGCCAUGUUGUGGGGAGUAGAGAUGAUGUACAUGCAUUGUGUGAGUGUGAUAAAAGCCAUGUUGUGGGGAGUAGAGAUGAUGUACAUGCAUUGUGUGAGUGUGAUAAAAGCCAUGUUGUGGGGAGUAGAGAUGAUGUACAUGCAUUGUGUGAGUGCGAUAAAAGCCAUGUUGUGGGGAGUAGAGAUGAGAGAAUAGAGGUCAUGUUGUGGGGAGUAGAGAUGAGAGAAUAGAGGCCAUGUUGUGGGGAGUAGAGAUGAGAGAAUAGAGGUCAUCUUGUGGGGAGUAGAGAUGAGAGAAUAGAGGCCAUGUUGUGGGGAGUAGAGAUGAGAGAAUAGAGGCCAUGUUGUGGGGAGUAGAGAUGAGAGAAUAGAGGUCAUGUUGUGGGGAGUAGAGAUGAGAGAAUAGAGGUCAUGUUGUGGGGAGUAGAGAUGAGAGAAUAGAGGUCAUGUUGUGGGGAGUAGAGAUGAGAGAAUAGAGGUCAUGUUGUGGGGAGUAGAGAUGAGAGAAUAGAGGUCAUGUUGUGGGGAGUAGAGAUGAGAGAAUAGAGGUCAUGUUGUGGGGAGUAGAGAUGAGAGAAUAGAGGCCAUGUUGUGGGGAGUAGAGAUGAGAGAAUAGAGGCCAUGUUGUGGGGAGUAGAGAUGAGAGAAUAGAGGUCAUGUUGUGGGGAGUAGAGAUGAGAGAAUAGAGGUCAUGUUGUGGGGAGUAGAGAUGAGAGAAUAGAGGUCAUGUUGUGGGGAGUAGAGAUGAGAGAAUAGAGGUCAUGUUGUGGGGAGUAGAGAUGAGAGAAUAGAGGUCAUGUUGUGGGGAGUAGAGAUGAGAGAAUAGAGGUCAUGUUGUGGGGAGUAGAGAUGAGAGAAUAGAGGUCAUGUUGUGGGGAGUAGAGAUGAGAGAAUAGAGGUCAUGUUGUGGGGAGUAGAGAUGAGAGAAUAGAGGUCAUGUUGUGGGGAGUAGAGAUGAGAGAAUAGAGGUCAUGUUGUGGGGAGUAGAGAUGAGAGAAUAGAGGUCAUGUUGUGGGGGAGUAGAGAUGAGAGAAUAGAGGCCAUGUUGUGGGGAGUAGAGAUGAGAGAAUAGAGGCCAUGUUGUGGGGAGUAGAGAUGAGAGAAUAGAGGCCAUGUUGUGGGGAGUAGAGAUGAGAGAAUAGAGGCCAUGUUGUGGGGAGUAGAGAUGAGAGAAUAGAGGCCAUGUUUUGGGGAGUAGAGAUGAGAGAAUAGAGGCCAUGUUGUGGGGAGUAGAGAUGAGAGAAUAGAGGCCAUGUUGUGGGGAGUAGAGAUGAGAGAAUAGAGGCCAUGUUGUGGGGAGUAGAGAUGAGAGAAUAGAGGUCAUGUUGUGGGGAGUAGAGAUGAGAGAAUAGAGGUCAUGUUGUGGGGAGUAGAGAUGAGAGAAUAGAGGUCAUGUUGUGGGGAGUAGAGAUGAGAGAAUAGAGGUCAUGUUGUGGGGAGUAGAGAUGAGAGAAUAGAGGUCAUGUUGUGGGGAGUAGAGAUGAGAGAAUAGAGGUCAUGUUGUGGGGAGUAGAGAUGAGAGAAUAGAGGUCAUGUUGUGGGGAGUAGAGAUGAGAGAAUAGAGGUCAUGUUGUGGGGAGUAGAGAUGAGAGAAUAGAGGUCAUGUUGUGGGGAGUAGAGAUGAGAGAAUAGAGGUCAUGUUGUGGGGAGUAGAGAUGAGAGAAUAGAGGCCAUGUUGUGGGGAGUAGAGAUGAGAGAAUAGAGGUCAUGUUGUGGGGAGUAGAGAUGAGAGAAUAGAGGUCAUGUUGUGGGGAGUAGAGAUGAGAGAAUAGAGGUCAUGUUGUGGGGAGUAGAGAUGAGAGAAUAGAGGUCAUGUUGUGGGGAGUAGAGAUGAGAGAAUAGAGGUCUUGUUGUGGGGAGUAGAGAUGAGAGAAUAGAGGUCAUGUUGUGGGGAGUAGAGAUGAGAGAAUAGAGGUCAUGUUGUGGGGAGUAGAGAUGAGAGAAUAGAGGUCAUGUUGUGGGGAGUAGAGAUGAGAGAAUAGAGGUCAUGUUGUGGGGAGUAGAGAUGAGAGAAUAGAGGUCAUGUUGUGGGGAGUAGAGAUGAGAGAAUAGAGGUCAUGUUGUGGGGAGUAGAGAUGAGAGAAUAGAGGCCAUGUUGUGGGGAGUAGAGAUGAGAGAAUAGAGGCCAUGUUGUGGGGAGUAGAGAUGAGAGAAUAGAGGCCAUGUUGUGGGGAGUAGAGAUGAGAGAAUAGAGGUCAUGUUGUGGGGAGUAGAGAUGAGAGAAUAGAGGUCAUGUUGUGGGGAGUAGAGAUGAGAGAAUAGAGGCCAUGUUGUGGGGAGUAGAGAUGAGAGAAUAGAGGUCAUGUUGUGGGGAGUAGAGAUGAGAGAAUAGAGGUCAUGUUGUGGGGAGUAGAGAUGAGAGAAUAGAGGUCAUGUUGUGGGGAGUAGAGAUGAGAGAAUAGAGGUCAUGUUGUGGGGAGUAGAGAUGAGAGAAUAGAGGUCAUGUUGUGGGGAGUAGAGAUGAGAGAAUAGAGGCCAUGUUGUGGGGAGUAGAGAUGAGAGAAUAAAGGUCAUGUUGUGGGGAGUAGAGAUGAGAGAAUAGAGGUCAUGUUGUGGGGAGUAGAGAUGAGAGAAUAGAGGUCUUACUGUACUCUCCUGUCUGGCACUCGGACAUGAAAGGAACAGAUUUCCCUUCAUUGUUUUCUGAGCCUUGCUCUGUGACUGCUAGCUGUGCAGAUUCUGCCUCCAUAAAAAGGGUUAUAGUGCAGAUUCUGCCUCCAUACAAAGGGUUACAGUGCAGAUUCUGCCUCCAUACAAAGGGUUACAGUGCAGAUUCUGCCUCC
Long non-coding RNA from Coregonus clupeaformis (lake whitefish), 2917 nucleotides. RefSeq lists it as uncharacterized. The record is from RefSeq and is a predicted model, not a curated record. Lineage: Eukaryota; Metazoa; Chordata; Actinopteri; Salmoniformes; Salmonidae. The transcript has 3 exons.